This 467-nucleotide ribosomal RNA is filed under the name uncultured bacterium. RNAcentral's name for it is "partial 16S ribosomal RNA". It matches the Rfam family "Bacterial small subunit ribosomal RNA", at positions 28 to 506 of the family's 1533-position model. The record is from RNAcentral.
GACGAACGCUGGCGGCGUGCUUAACACAUGCAAGUCGAACGGAAAGGCCCUGCUUUUGUGGGGUGCUCGAGUGGCGAACGGGUGAGUAACACGUGAGUAACCUGCCCUGGACUUUGGGAUGACUUCAGGAAACUGGGGCUAAUACCGGAUAGGAGCUCCUGCUGCAUGGUGGGGGUUGGAAAGUUUCGGCGGUUGGGGAUGGACUCGCGGCUUAUCAGCUUGUUGGGGGGGUAGUGGCUUACCAAGGCUUUGACGGGUAGCCGGCCUGAGAGGGUGACCGGCCCCAUUGGGCCUGGGAUACGGCCCAGACUCCUACGGGAGGCAGCAGUGGGGAAUAUUGCACAAUGGGCGGCAGCCUGAUGCAGCAACGCCGCGUGCGGGAUGACGGCCUUCGGGUUGUAAACCGCUUUCGCCUGUGACGAAGCGUGAGUGACGGUAAUGGGUAAAGAAGCACCGGCUAACUACGU